GCCUGCCCAAUGACUCUGUUUAACGGCCGCGGUAUCCUAACCGUGCGAAGGUAGCGUAAUCACUUGUUCUCUAAAUGAGGACUAGUAUGAACGGCAUCACGAGGGUUAUACUGUCUCCUUUUUCUAAUCAGUGAAACUAACCUCCCCGUGAAGAGGCGGGGAUAAAACUAUAAGACGAGAAGACCCUAUGGAGCUUUAAACAAUAUAGCACCUGCCAUAUAGUAUAAUAAAUUUACGAAUCCCUUAUUCUAAGACAAUAUGACUAUAAGUUUUUGGUUGGGGUGACCGCGGAGCAAAACUUAACCUCCAUGUUGAAAAUUUUAAGCUAAGAAUCACCCUUCUAAGCAUCAAUACAUUGACACCAAUUGACCCAAUACACUUGAACAACGAACCAAGUUACCCUAGGGAUAACAGCGCA
RNAcentral lists this ribosomal RNA (418 nucleotides) under Nectophrynoides cf. viviparus HCL-2014. RNAcentral's name for it is "partial 16S ribosomal RNA". It matches the Rfam family "Bacterial large subunit ribosomal RNA", at positions 1857 to 2484 of the family's 2925-position model. Lineage: Eukaryota; Metazoa; Chordata; Amphibia; Anura; Bufonidae. The record is from RNAcentral.